UGGUUAACAUGGUGACCGGUAACUGACAGCUCCUCCCCCUUUUUCAGUUACCGUCUUCAACUGUGGACUCAAGAUUAAGUUCAGCUAGAGAGCAGACAGCAAUUAAUCUUCCCUCAAUAACCAGACUGCAGCUUACAUCUUUUUGUGCAAGCUGAUCCCUCCCAGCGUGUUCAGAGUGAAAGGAGGCGUUGGGAGCGGUCAAAAUGAAGUCAUCACUCUGGGAGAGACAGCUGUUCCACGGGAUAUGAGCAGACCAGAACAAGAGCGGCCCGUUCUGUCAUAAAGCUCUGCCCUUAAGGGCGGCACCCAGCAGCCCACCAAUCGCUGCUCCGUGUCGGGACAUGACCCUUUUGACAGCGCGCUCUGAGAAAGCGGCUGUGCCUUUCAGGAGGACAUGACCAUUAAUAAACUGGAGUCAGCAGUGGGUGGCAAAGGCAGGAAAAAAAUAACAGGUGUCAAUCUUUAUUAAAUGCGAUCUGCCACCUUUCAAAUUUCUAAAUUACUCCCCAAUUAAGAAGAAAAAUGAAGGUGAGGAUGCUCCCUGAAUUUGACAUCCUAAUUAAUUACUUCCUUUGUGUGAAGAAUUGACUUUUACUCCAUGUCACCUUGGAAUCCUGAAGCUCAUUUCGAAAUGGAAAUUCACCCUCAGAGCUAAAAUAAAACUUUUCAAUGAGACAGAAACACUGACAACUUCUAAUUUGGUGAGGUAAUGAUUCCACUAGCAUUUGCUCUCUUAUUCAGUAUAAUAUCCCAAUCGCUAAAACUAUUCCUAAAUUACAUCAUUAAAUAACAGACAACACACUGGUUCUCAAUUCAACUUCAACAUCCACAAUGGCAGAACUCGCCAAGAACUUAAUUGGCUUUACUGCGAGUUUUAUUAUCAAAUCAGUUGUGGUGAAUUAAA
Molecule: long non-coding RNA, 904 nt
Organism: Poeciliopsis prolifica (blackstripe livebearer)
Lineage: Eukaryota; Metazoa; Chordata; Actinopteri; Cyprinodontiformes; Poeciliidae
Exons: 3
Source: RefSeq, a predicted model, not a curated record